Molecule: long non-coding RNA, 1299 nt
Filed under: Mytilus galloprovincialis (Mediterranean mussel)
Lineage: Eukaryota; Metazoa; Mollusca; Bivalvia; Mytilida; Mytilidae
Source: RNAcentral
GGGGCGUAGCUAGAAAGAAACGAUGUGGAAGCAACUCAAGACGCAAAAAUUUUUGGGACCCUAUUAUGCAGAAUUUUUUUUUUUUUUCGGUUUUCGGUCAUAGGACGGUUAAAAGAGGAGCUAUAUGUAGAUAAAAAUUUAUGAAUGUAAAACUAUUAAUAAAUCUUCUGAAUAUAGUAAUACAUAAACAACACAUAUUUGUGAUACAGAAUUUACUCAAAAUUGUCCAAAAUCUGCUCUUCGGGUCUGGGCAGAAACAAACUUCUCUAUUACUUUGUCAACAUUCACACUGAAAUCCCGAUGAAUAUGCAGUAAUGCUAUGUAACUUUCGUUGUUCAUUGUUGAUCGUACAUUUGUUUUCAAUUACAUACGUAGUACCGUGACUGAUAGAUCUCAGGCCAUCAUGGCAUGGUAGCACUCGCGAGAUGUUAUAAACCAGCGUACGUGUUCGGCAUCGAGCGACCUCCCAAUUGAAUUCGUCAAAAUUACAUGCUAGGUCAGUUUCGUAUGUUUCAGACAAUAUUGAGAUUUGUUCGUUUGUGAUAUUUCCUACAACACGAUGAAGCAGAUACAGCACAAAGAAGCGAUUUUCUGAUAACUUGACGCGACUCCACUCUCCAGUUGCCUUAUCAUAUGGUCUAUGAACGCAAAAAAUAAUGAGACUUUCCAAUACUGUUUUGGCGUGGUUGCAGGGUGAUUGGCUCCGGUAGUCUGUCAACCACAUCGCCUCGGCAUAUUUUCAACGAUAUCGAAGGGAUCUGAUAAUUCUAAUGCCGAUUGGUACAUCUCAUUCCAAACUGAUGAACUGUACACUGUAAAAUGUGCUCCAAAACUACAUAUCUUAGACUGAGUAUUACAAAUUCAAAAGUAAAAAUCUUGUAAAAGAUACAAGUAACCUUCCGAUUUUGUCAUAAUCUCCAAAAAAAAAAAUUAUUUUGAAACCAAAUGUCGUUAUUUAAUGAUAUUUCAUCAAUUAAAAAAAGUGACAACAUAGGUGUUUCCUUUAACAUUCAAUUUAUAAAUUUUUAUUUUGCCAUUUCUUUUUUUGCAUGCCGAAUCAAUGUGCACGCAACUUCGGAGCUACGAUCUUUUUCUGAAUGAACAGCUUCAUCAACACUUGUAACUAGGUUGUCAAACUAAUAUCCUGGGAUAGACGGAAAAGACACCAACAGUCUCCGAUUCCGAUUGACCAACUCAUCUCUCUCUCUCUCUUCUGCUUUUUUUUUUUUUUUUUUUUUGUGAAAACGACGUGGAUGCACGUGCUGUCGUGCCUCCGGGUAGCUACGCCCCUGUACAGGA